RNAcentral lists this ribosomal RNA (508 nucleotides) under uncultured bacterium. Its description in RNAcentral is "partial 16S ribosomal RNA". It matches the Rfam family "Bacterial small subunit ribosomal RNA", at positions 28 to 523 of the family's 1533-position model. The record is from RNAcentral.
GAUGAACGCUAGCUACAGGCUUAACACAUGCAAGUCGAGGGGAAACGAUAGGGAAAGCUUGCUUUUUCUAGGCGUCGACCGGCGCACGGGUGAGUAACGCGUAUCCAACCUGCCCAUCACUUGGGGAUAACCUUGCGAAAGUAAGACUAAUACCCAAUGACGUCUCCAGAAGACAUCUGAAGGAGAUUAAAGAUUUAUCGGUGAUGGAUGGGGAUGCGUCUGAUUAGCUUGUUGGCGGGGUAACGGCCCACCAAGGCGACGAUCAGUAGGGGUUCUGGGAGGAAGGUCCCCCACAUUGGAACUGAGACACGGUCCAAACUCCUACGGGAGGCAGCAGUGAGGAAUAUUGGUCAAUGGACGAGAGUCUGAACCAGCCAAGUAGCGUGCAGGAAGACGGCCCUAUGGGUUGUAAACUGCCUUUAUAAGGGAAUAAAGUGAGUCUCGUGAGACUUUUUGCAUGUACCUUAUGAAUAAGGACCGGCUAAUUCCGUGCCAGCCGCCGCAGUAA